AGUGAACGCUGGCGGUAGGCCUAACACAUGCAAGUCGAACGGCAGCACAGUAAGAGCUUGCUCUUACGGGUGGCGAGUGGCGGACGGGUGAGGAAUACAUCGGAAUCUACUUUUUCGUGGGGGAUAACGUAGGGAAACUUACGCUAAUACCGCAUACGACCUACGGGUGAAAGCAGGGGAUCUUCGGACCUUGCGCGAUUGAAUUAGCCGAUUUCGGAUUAGCUAGUUGGCGGGGUAAAGGCCCACCAAGGCGACGAUCCGUAGCUGGUCUGAGAGGAUGAUCAGCCACACUGGAACUGAGACACGGUCCAGACUCCUACGGGAGGCAGCAGUGGGGAAUAUUGGACAAUGGGCGCAAGCCUGAUCCAGCAAUACCGCGUGGGUGAAGAAGGCCUUCGGGUUGUAAAGCCCUUUUGUCGGGAAAGAAAAGAAGCAGGUUAAUACGCCGCUGUUCUGACGGUACCCAAAGAAUAAGCACCGGCUAACUUCGUG
RNAcentral lists this ribosomal RNA (492 nucleotides) under uncultured bacterium. Its description in RNAcentral is "partial 16S ribosomal RNA". It matches the Rfam family "Bacterial small subunit ribosomal RNA", at positions 29 to 507 of the family's 1533-position model. The record is from RNAcentral.